AGCACCAGCACUGGCAGCACCAGCAGCGGCGGCACCAGCAGUACCGGCAGCAGCGGCACCAGCACCAGUCGUCUCAGGCUUCGCCACCGCCGGCGCGCAGCGGCUCCGCGGCUCGGUGCCGGCAGUGCAGAGCAACUUUCUUCAAGUGCAGAGGACAGGAGGAGAAGAGCCUUAAGCAGACUGUGGAACCAGGGUACCUGUCCUACCCAUGACAGCCAGGCUUCUGUACCUACCCACCAUACCACAAAGUGAAAGGAGAAGGUGGCAGACUGCUCUGGCAUUGAUCAUCGGUCCUUGAGAUGCUGUUGGCGGGGAACAGAGCAAUAAGGUAUAACUGAAGCUGGCAGGUAUGUGCAAUUGCAAAGAUCUUUUGUUUUUUAUACAUGUCCUGUUUAUUCCAGCAAAUGCCAAACAAGCCUACGUAUGUCAGUGCCAUUUAAUGCUUCACUGUUGUUGUUUAAAGUAUAAUGAAUCAUGUGGGCUUAGGGUAAGAACUGACAAAGAUUGCGUGGUGUGGUGUGGGUGCUACCUAUUUUUUUUUAAUUUGUGUGGCACUCUCAGCCUUCCCUGUGGACACUGGGUGGUUUUGUGCCCUACUGCAGAGUGUCCCUGGUUGGCAUGCAAAGAUAUUCUUCUUGACACAGGCAGCCUGGCAGCUGGAGAGCUCUGGGAAGAAGACAGCUUCUGGUGGGCUAUGGUGCUCCAGGGCUUCUCUCUGGUCAACCACAACCCCUCCCUUGAGGCUGAACAUUGGUGAGUCUCUGAAAGCAUGUUAUGUCCCUAGAGUCCAUUGCAGCAGGGAAAAAAAGAUACUUCUUGGCAGAUUUACUAUAUACCAUCUGAAGUCUCCACUUGGCUUUUGACCAUGCUUCGUGCUUGCUAUGGCCACAGAGCCGCCACCACCACUAGCCCUCCAAGGCUGAGCUGAAUUAUUUUCUGACUUGCAUAUCGCCAAGAGGUGCAUCAGCUACAAGAGAUUCCAGCUGCAGAAUGUGUGUGUGCGGCAUGUCUUGUUCAGAUGUUAUUUCCUUAAUAAAAUUGCUCAUUUGGCGUGAAGA
Long non-coding RNA from Strigops habroptila (Kakapo), 1058 nucleotides. RefSeq lists it as uncharacterized. The record is from RefSeq and is a predicted model, not a curated record. The transcript has 2 exons. Lineage: Eukaryota; Metazoa; Chordata; Aves; Psittaciformes; Psittacidae.